CUGCCGCCAAUUAAGCCAACUUGCUCUCUGCUCCAUGGGACCCUGUACAAUGGCUGCAAACAGCAAUCGACGUCUCUGGCGGUGUAGCAGCCUGUUCCUUGUCUGGGCUGUUCUCAGGGACCUUGGGGACAGUC
This is a small nucleolar RNA of Sorex araneus (European shrew), 134 nucleotides long. Its record names the gene SNORA70. It matches the Rfam family "Small nucleolar RNA SNORA70". From Rfam's summary of the family: snoRNA U70 seems to be exclusive to mammals and is a member of the H/ACA class of snoRNA which contain H (ANANNA) and ACA box motifs. H/ACA box snoRNAs are involved in the conversion of uridines to pseudouridines (5-ribosyluracil) a constituent of structural RNAs (transfer, ribosomal, small nuclear, and small nucleolar). The record is from Ensembl. Lineage: Eukaryota; Metazoa; Chordata; Mammalia; Eulipotyphla; Soricidae.